GAGCUUGGCGGUGUUUUAGACCUCUCAGGGGAACCUGUCUCAUAAUCGACAAUCCACGUUAGACCUGACCCUUUAUAGCAAUUCAGCCUGUAUACCGUCGUCGUCAGGUAACUUCUUAAAAUAUAGUAGUUAGCCCGAUAAUUUUAUUAAUUAAUACGUCAGAUCAAGGUGCAGCUAAUAAAAGGGAGAGGAUGGGUUACAAUUAUAGAUUUAUAAUUACGAAGGAUAUUUAGAAAUAAAAUAUUUAAAGGAGGACUUGAAAGUAAUUUUGAUUAUAUAAGUAAAAUGAAUAAGGCUCUGAAACGUGCACACAUCGCCCGUCGCUCUCGUUGAAAAAUGAGAUAAGUCGUAACAUAGUAGGGGUAAUGGAAAUUGUUCCUAAGC
This 384-nucleotide ribosomal RNA is filed under the name Conus tabidus. Its description in RNAcentral is "partial 12S ribosomal RNA". It matches the Rfam family "Microsporidia small subunit ribosomal RNA", at positions 783 to 1303 of the family's 1311-position model. Lineage: Eukaryota; Metazoa; Mollusca; Gastropoda; Neogastropoda; Conidae. The record is from RNAcentral.